UUUAGUCUUCGGGGCAGGGUGAGAUUCCCGACCGGUGGUAAAGUCCACGAGCUUGAUGAGUGAACGAUUAUUUUUAAUUUGAACGAACGCCGUAUCAAUGAAAAAAUAAUCUGCCCUCACGAGCAGGAACUGGUGAAAUUCCAGUACCGACAGUACAGUCUGGAUGAAAGAAGAUAAAG
RNAcentral lists this non-coding RNA (179 nucleotides) under Targowskia paracuniculus. Its description in RNAcentral is "Haemophilus paracuniculus FMN sequence". It matches the Rfam family "FMN riboswitch aptamer (RFN element)". From Rfam's summary of the family: The RFN element is a highly conserved domain that is found frequently in the 5'-untranslated regions of prokaryotic mRNAs that encode for flavin mononucleotide (FMN) biosynthesis and transport proteins. This element is a metabolite-dependent riboswitch that directly binds FMN in the absence of proteins. In Bacillus subtilis, the riboswitch most likely controls gene expression by causing premature transcription termination within the 5' untranslated region of the ribDEAHT operon and precluding access to the ribosome-binding site of ypaA mRNA. Lineage: Bacteria; Pseudomonadati; Pseudomonadota; Gammaproteobacteria; Pasteurellales; Pasteurellaceae. The record is from Rfam by way of RNAcentral.